UACGUAGGUGGCAAGCGUUGUCCGGAUUUACUGGGCGUAAAGAGCGCGCAGGCGGUCGUACAAGUCGCGUGUGAAAGCCCCCGGCUCAACUGGGGAGGGUCACGCGAUACUGUUCGACUCGAAGGCAGGAGAGGGAAGCGGAAUUCCCGGUGUAGCGGUGAAAUGCGUAGAUAUCAGGAGGAACACCUGUGGUGUAGACAGCUUACUGGACCACUUCUGACGCUGAGACACGAAAGCGUGGGUAGCAAACAGG
This 253-nucleotide ribosomal RNA is filed under the name uncultured bacterium. RNAcentral's name for it is "partial 16S ribosomal RNA". It matches the Rfam family "Bacterial small subunit ribosomal RNA", at positions 524 to 776 of the family's 1533-position model. The record is from RNAcentral.